UGAGACGUAGCCAAGUGGUACGGCAACAGACUUUGACUCUGUGAUACGAAGGUUCAACUCCUUCCAUCUCAA
RNAcentral lists this transfer RNA (72 nucleotides) under Piridium sociabile. RNAcentral describes it as "tRNA-Gln". It matches the Rfam family "tRNA". From Rfam's summary of the family: Transfer RNA (tRNA) molecules are approximately 80 nucleotides in length. Their secondary structure includes four short double-helical elements and three loops (D, anti-codon, and T loops). The record is from RNAcentral. Lineage: Eukaryota; Vitrellaceae.